UUUUGUAAAGAAAGGCUUUAUGUAUGGGUUUUUGAGGCAAGGAGAAAACAGAAAAUGCAGAGGGAGAGAAUGAUUAGUCAGGUUCAUUGCAUUCCCUCUGGUGAUCAUAUUCUCAUGACGGCUUCUUCUUCUAAACACAUUUCUCAUAUCAGAUUCUACAAAGCCUGGAAGGGUAACAGUAGAUUUUGCUGUGGUGGUAGAGCUUCUUUCAACUAUACAUACAAGUCAUUGCGUAUUGUGGUCUUCCCCCUUAACCACUCGGACAAACCUGCUUGUCGUUAAUAAACUCUUCAUAUUGUAUUUUAUAUACGCCGCAAUCUUAUGUGGUUGCAUACUAAUAAUCCUUCCUUAUCUUCGGGUCCAUUGGGUUAUUGUACAAAUUGAUUUGCUAACUAAUCUUCAA
Molecule: long non-coding RNA, 403 nt
Organism: Arabidopsis lyrata subsp. lyrata
Lineage: Eukaryota; Viridiplantae; Streptophyta; Magnoliopsida; Brassicales; Brassicaceae
Exons: 2
Source: RefSeq, a predicted model, not a curated record